This 622-nucleotide ribosomal RNA is filed under the name uncultured bacterium. Its description in RNAcentral is "bacterial SSU rRNA". It matches the Rfam family "Bacterial small subunit ribosomal RNA", at positions 1 to 600 of the family's 1533-position model. The record is from RNAcentral.
CGAUGCAUCUAGAUUGCGGAUCCGCGGCCGCAGAGUUUGAUCCUGCUCAGGAUGAACGCUGGCGGCGUGCCUAACACAUGCAAGUCGAACGGGGAUCUAGAGGAAAAGGUACUUGUACCUCGGAAUUUAGAUUCUAGUGGCGGAUGGGUGAGUAACACGUGAGCAACCUGCCUUGAUCAGGGGGAUAACAACGGGAAACCGUUGCUAAUACCGCAUAAUAUGCCGCUGGGGCAUCCCAGUGGCAUCAAAGGAGUAAUCCGGAUUGUGAUGGGCUCGCGUCCGAUUAGUUAGUUGGUGAGGUAACGGCUCACCAAGACUGCGAUCGGUAGCCGGACUGAGAGGUUGACCGGCCACAUUGGGACUGAGACACGGCCCAGACUCCUACGGGAGGCAGCAGUGGGGAAUAUUGGGCAAUGGGGGAAACCCUGACCCAGCGACGCCGCGUGAAGGAUGAAGGCCUUCGGGUUGUAAACUUCUUUGAUCGGGGACGAUAAUGACGGUACCCGAGGAACAAGCCACGGCUAACUACGUGCCAGCAGCCGCGGUAAUACGUAGUGGCAAGCGUUAUCCGGAUUUACUGGGUGUAAGGGCGUGUAGCGGGUUUUCAAGUCGGAUGUGAAAA